GAUGAACGCUAGCGACAGGCUUAACACAUGCAAGUCGAGGGGCAGCAGGAAGUAGCAAUACUUUGCUGGCGACCGGCGCACGGGUGAGUAACGCGUAUGCAACCUACCUAUCAGAGGGGGAUAACCCGGCGAAAGUCGGACUAAUACCGCAUAAAACAGGGGUCCCGCAUGGGAAUAUUUGUUAAAGAUUUAUUGCUGAUAGAUGGGCAUGCGUUCCAUUAGAUAGUUGGUAAGGUAACGGCUUACCAAGUCUGCGAUGGAUAGGGGUUCUGAGAGGAAGGUCCCCCACACUGGUACUGAGACACGGACCAGACUCCUACGGGAGGCAGCAGUGAGGAAUAUUGGUCAAUGGGCGAGAGCCUGAACCAGCCAAGUCGCGUGAAGGAUGAAGGAUCUAUGGUUCGUAAACUUCUUUUAUAAGGGAAUAAAGUGCGGGACGUGUCCUGUUUUGUAUGUACCUUAUGAAUAAGGAUCGGCUAACUCCGUGCCAGCCGCCGCAGUAA
Molecule: ribosomal RNA, 503 nt
Filed under: uncultured bacterium
Lineage: Bacteria
Description: partial 16S ribosomal RNA
Rfam family: Bacterial small subunit ribosomal RNA
Source: RNAcentral